RNAcentral lists this transfer RNA (54 nucleotides) under Alectorobius spheniscus. RNAcentral describes it as "tRNA-Ser". The record is from RNAcentral. Lineage: Eukaryota; Metazoa; Arthropoda; Arachnida; Ixodida; Argasidae.
AAGGUUAUAUAGUGGGAGCUGCUAACUCCCCAUUAAUGAUUUCAUUUAGCCUUU